RNAcentral lists this transfer RNA (70 nucleotides) under Dicaeum cruentatum. Its description in RNAcentral is "tRNA-Pro". It matches the Rfam family "tRNA". Rfam says of the family: Transfer RNA (tRNA) molecules are approximately 80 nucleotides in length. Lineage: Eukaryota; Metazoa; Chordata; Aves; Passeriformes; Dicaeidae. The record is from RNAcentral.
CAGAAAGUAGUUUAAUUUAAAAUUCCAGCUUUGGGAGUUGGUGAUGAAGGUUUGAUUCCUUUCUUUCUGA